Molecule: ribosomal RNA, 253 nt
Filed under: uncultured bacterium
Lineage: Bacteria
Description: partial 16S ribosomal RNA
Rfam family: Bacterial small subunit ribosomal RNA
Source: RNAcentral
UACGUAGGGUGCGAGCGUUAAUCGGAAUUACUGGGCGUAAAGCGUGCGCAGGCGGCUUUGCAAGACAGAUGUGAAAUCCCCGGGCUCAACCUGGGAACUGCAUUUGUGACUGCAAGGCUAGAGUACGGCAGAGGGGGAUGGAAUUCCGCGUGUAGCAGUGAAAUGCGUAGAUAUGCGGAGGAACACCGAUGGCGAAGGCAAUCCCCUGGGCCUGUACUGGCGCUCAUGCACGAAAGCGUGGGGAGCAAACAGG